GUAUAAUUUUGUUUAAUACAAGAAAUGAAUUUUAUAUAUAACAAUGGUGCCUUACAUCUGGUUACAAUACCGAGUGAGCUCCCACAAAGCGCUCAUGACUGACUCAAUCAUCAAAAUCAUGGUAAAAAAAAAUUACUAUAAUAAGGAAUUAUAGUAUGUACAGAAUCAAUUCCUAGCCCUAAAAAGCUGCAGCAUUUUCUGUAAUGCUGUUCAACUUUUAUCCAUUAUUUUUUUUAUUUUUAUUAUUUGUCCUAAUACUGUUAUUCUCUCUCUAACAUUUAAUUAGUUAUGUAUUGGAGGCUUUCUUCUUGCUGGAGAAUAGUCCAUAAUGUCCACAUAGUGAUCAUCGUGGGUCACCUCCUGGUGCUCAGAAGUUGGCGAUGAAUUAAUGGUAAAUUUCUCUCGUUCCCCAACUACUUCUCCAUUACUUGAUCUGUCCUUUGAAGACAUUGAAUUAGCUUUGUUUUCUCCUCUAUUUUCCUCAUUCUUGGAGGAGGUGGUGGUGGGAGAAGUAGUAGAGGUGGUCACAGUAGUAAGUUUUCUAUUCAUUCCUGCAACCAUAGAUAUCAGAAACCAUUAACUAAGUAUAUGUCAUGAUAUGGACUGAUAAAACUAGACAGGUUAUGUGAGUAUUCAAGAAAUUAACUAGUAAAUAAUAAUAAUAUAGUUUGAUCUGCUUCUUGGGGGGCAAAACUUGCUUUGUGGAGUACAUGAACAUGGGUUUAAGUCUUAUAAAACCCAGCAGCUGGCUCCUAUGUCAGAGUUCCAAAAUUAGUUGCUAAAUAAAAACAUGAAUUUCAAGUCAUCAAUAUCAUCCUAGCUAGCUAGAUUGAGAACUGAGAAACUAAUGGUGUAUAGUUUUGUGAUGCCUAGGUCCACAGUAAUCUUCAUGAAUUCUUGGUAAUGGGUGGGGUGGUGAUGAUUUCUUGGAUACUGCAGAGACUCUUUUCUUCAAGGUACCUGUACAAUGCCCUUCUUUGCAGAGAAUAACCUCUCCAAAAGCACCACUACUUCUUUCUAUCAGGGAACUCUUGUCCUCAUGGAUUUUUUGAUGCCCAACUUGCAUAAAUCCUUUUUCCAAGCGAAUCCCUUUAGCCUCGUGGAGGAGAAAGGACAGAAGCAGAAGAGAGACUAAUAAAGAAGGCUUCAUCUGGAGAAAAUAUUUGUGAAGAAUAGGAGUGGGAGAUGGGUAAGGACUAGCAAUAGCAGUUUUGGUACACCUAAGGUCAGGUACAGAAUGUGGGUUUCUCUUAAACUUUGGCUACUCCCUCUUAAAACUUGAAUCUGAU
RNAcentral lists this unclassified non-coding RNA (1289 nucleotides) under Hevea brasiliensis (rubber tree). Lineage: Eukaryota; Viridiplantae; Streptophyta; Magnoliopsida; Malpighiales; Euphorbiaceae. The record is from RNAcentral.